Hippocampus zosterae (dwarf seahorse) is the source of this 464-nucleotide long non-coding RNA. RefSeq lists it as uncharacterized. The transcript is spliced from 3 exons. The record is from RefSeq and is a predicted model, not a curated record. Lineage: Eukaryota; Metazoa; Chordata; Actinopteri; Syngnathiformes; Syngnathidae.
UCUCUUAUCUCUUAUCUCUUUGGCGAAGAGUGGUUAUGUUAGGGAGUGUGCGGGAAUUACAAGAAGUACCGUCUCUGAAGCUGAAGGGGGUGCGCGUGAACAAAGGUUUUGCAAAAAAAAAGCCGAUCGAGCUCAUGGGUGCACCGUGUUCAUUUGGAUGCUGUUCAGAGUUGCAUGGCUUCUUCGAGUUUUGAGAUUGUUUGGCAAAGACUGAUCACGCUGGGGGAUUGUGUUGGGGGUGCGCGGCGUUCCAAAGUUUCAGGACGUUGAGGGAAAAACUGAUCUCGCUGGGGGUGCGCCAACGCCGUCUGGCUGUUGAAGGGGAAGUAUGACAACAACAACAACAAUAAAAGAAUCAUGAAAGACUGAUCCAGCUGGGGGUGCACCAACUCUGUUGGGGUCUUGAAGGGGGUGUGUGGGUUAAAAUGCCUUUUGGAAAGACUGAGGUGUUACAUGCGGGUGCG